This 273-nucleotide ribosomal RNA is filed under the name uncultured bacterium. RNAcentral describes it as "partial 16S ribosomal RNA". It matches the Rfam family "Bacterial small subunit ribosomal RNA", at positions 524 to 790 of the family's 1533-position model. The record is from RNAcentral.
UACGUAGGGUCCGAGCGUUGUCCGGAAUUACUGGGCGUAAAGAGCGUGUAGGCGGGUCUUUAAGUGAGAGGUGAAAAGGUUCAGGGCUCAACCCGAACACUGCCUUUCAUACUGGGGACCUUGAGGGCGGGAGAGGCGAGUGGAAUGGUCGGUGUAGCGGUGAAAUGCGUAGAUAUCGAUCGGAACACCCAUGGCGAAGGCAGCUGACUAGGCUGUUACUGACGCUGAGGCACGACAGCCGUGGGGGGAGCGAACAGGAUUAGAAAACCCUUG